Molecule: ribosomal RNA, 253 nt
Filed under: uncultured bacterium
Lineage: Bacteria
Description: partial 16S ribosomal RNA
Rfam family: Bacterial small subunit ribosomal RNA
Source: RNAcentral
UACGGAGGGGGCUAGCGUUAUUCGGAAUUACUGGGCGUAAAGCGCACGUAGGCGGAUUGGAAAGUUGGAGGUGAAAUCCCAGGGCUCAACCUUGGAACUGCCCUCAAAACUCCCAGUCUUGAGGUCGAGAGAGGUAAGUGGAAUUCCGAGUGUAGAGGUGAAAUUCGUAGAUAUUCGGAGGAACACCAGUGGCGAAGGCGACUUACUGGCUCGAUACUGACGCUGAGGUGCGAAGGCGUGGGGAGCAAACAGG